GCUCGCUUGGUGUAGUGGAUUAUCACGUCGUUCUUAUAAUGCGAAGGUCACCGGUUCGACCCCGGUAGUGAGCA
This 74-nucleotide transfer RNA is filed under the name Pyricularia oryzae 70-15. Its description in RNAcentral is "tRNA-Ile (TAT) (tRNA-Ile-TAT-1-1)". It matches the Rfam family "tRNA". From Rfam's summary of the family: Transfer RNA (tRNA) molecules are approximately 80 nucleotides in length. RNAcentral also lists the same sequence under 4 other names. Lineage: Eukaryota; Fungi; Ascomycota; Sordariomycetes; Magnaporthales; Pyriculariaceae. The record is from RNAcentral.